UGGGGAAUUUUGGACAAUGGGCGAAAGCCUGAUCCAGCAAUGCCGCGUGUGUGAAGAAGGCCUUCGGGUUGUAAAGCACUUUUGUCCGGAAAGAAAUCCUCUGGGUUAAUACCUCGGGGGGAUGACGGUACCGGAAGAAUAAGCACCGGCUAACUACGUGCCAGCAGCCGCGGUAAUACGUAGGGUGCAAGCGUUAAUCGGAAUUACUGGGCGUAAAGCGUGCGCAGGCGGUUUGCUAAGACCGAUGUGAAAUCCCCGGGCUCAACCUGGGAACUGCAUUGGUGACUGGCAGGCUAGAGUAUGGCAGAGGGGGGUAGAAUUCCACGUGUAGCAGUGAAAUGCGUAGAGAUGUGGAGGAAUACCGAUGGCGAAGGCAGCCCCCUGGGCCAAUACUGACGCUCAUGCACGAAAGCGUGGGGAGCAAAACAGGAUUAGAUACCCUGGUAGUCCACGCCCUAAACGAUGUCAACUAGUUGUUGGGGAUUCAUUUCCUUAGUAACGUAGCUAACGCGUGAAGUUGACCGCCUGGGGAGUACGGUCGCAAGAUUCAAAACUCAAAGGAAUUGACGGGGUCAUAGCUGUUUCCU
This 587-nucleotide ribosomal RNA is filed under the name uncultured bacterium. Its description in RNAcentral is "partial 16S ribosomal RNA". It matches the Rfam family "Bacterial small subunit ribosomal RNA", at positions 355 to 1375 of the family's 1533-position model. The record is from RNAcentral.